AAGUUUGAACUGCACAGGUCCAUUUAUACGUAGAUAUUUUUUCAAGAAAUAUAUUGGAAAAUUUUUUGGAGAUUUGUGACAAUUUGAAAAAACCCACAGAUGAACCAUGUAGCCUAGAAAUAUUGAAAAAAUUAAGAAAAAGUUAGUAUAUAUCGUGAAUGCAUAAAAUAUUUGUAGAUACCUUUACACAGGCAUAAGAAAUAAAACCAUCAGUGACAAGCUCUUGGUACUUGUCUGGAAAGGAACCUGGCAAUAUGAACCAAUUUACUUUUGCAUCAGCUGGUAUCAUUCCUGUGUCUACCUCAUGAUCUCAUCUGACUUUCUGACUGAUGAUUGUUGCUGCAAGCCAUGGAAAGGAAGGCCUGGUGCCAGUGUGAGAAGAGUUUCCUCAAAAAUGUGAGCUGUGAGUUCAAAAAGGCAUAAACGUCUGCAUGGCUGACU
Long non-coding RNA from Lagenorhynchus albirostris (white-beaked dolphin), 441 nucleotides. RefSeq lists it as uncharacterized. The transcript has 4 exons. Lineage: Eukaryota; Metazoa; Chordata; Mammalia; Artiodactyla; Delphinidae. The record is from RefSeq and is a predicted model, not a curated record.